UCUGGUAGUUAUGGCGAGAAGGUCACACCCGUUCCCAUCCCGAACACGGUAGUUAAGCUUCUCUGCGCCAAUGGUAGUUGGGGGC
This 85-nucleotide ribosomal RNA is filed under the name Escherichia coli. Lineage: Bacteria; Pseudomonadati; Pseudomonadota; Gammaproteobacteria; Enterobacterales; Enterobacteriaceae. The record is from RNAcentral. RNAcentral also lists the same sequence under 1 other name.